This 72-nucleotide transfer RNA is filed under the name Bos taurus (domestic cattle). It matches the Rfam family "tRNA". From Rfam's summary of the family: Transfer RNA (tRNA) molecules are approximately 80 nucleotides in length. Lineage: Eukaryota; Metazoa; Chordata; Mammalia; Artiodactyla; Bovidae. RNAcentral also lists the same sequence under 2 other names. The record is from Rfam by way of RNAcentral.
UGCCUGGAAGUCUAGUGAUUAAGACUCCAUGCUCCCAAUAUGGGUGUACAGGUUCGAUCCCUGGUCAAACAA